RNAcentral lists this ribosomal RNA (1449 nucleotides) under Triticum aestivum (bread wheat). RNAcentral describes it as "partial small subunit ribosomal RNA". The record is from RNAcentral. Lineage: Eukaryota; Viridiplantae; Streptophyta; Magnoliopsida; Poales; Poaceae.
AUGGCACAUCAAGGAGGGAGGAGGGACGCCGGCCACCGCGGCAUGAGGAGCAACGGCGACUUGCUCGGCGUCGGCGAAGAUAAGGGCGCGUCCAUUCGGGCGGAGGCGACGGCGGCUCAACUGCGUUCCGCACGUCGUCCCGAGGACGGAGGCAUCGCGGCGUCUUCGCCCUCGCGCAACGGUGGGCGCUGCGCGGGGCCCGAAGGGAACAGGCGAAUGGCAAUUGGCAUGAACAGCAAACAGGACCUAAUGCAAUCAGAAUUGGCGACUGAUACCAUUGUUGGAAUAAUUAUGCAUCUUUGGGAUGCCAUUAGCAGGAACAGGUUGCAUCUAGAUCACCUAAAACAUGAACAGAGAAGGUUUAGGGGAUCAUUACGUGUCACGGCAGUGGACAUGAUCGCCUGCUUGGAUUUGGAAGCGAUGUGGCACAUGCUGGACCUUCCACUCAAGAACCCGAAGCUCAAUCCAUUGGAUGGGGACAAGGUAGUGACCAUGCUGCUGAGUCAUCUGCACAAGGGAACGGUCAUGGUUGGCAGUGGCUCAAAGAUCCUCGGCUUGACAUUCUUGGCUACAGGGGAAUCUUUCCAGCUGAUACAAUACGUAGGUCAUUUGUUCUUUGUGCUUUCUAAAAUUACAUUUGAUAUGGUGCUCAAUAUCUACCGAUGGUCAUUUGAACAUUGUUAUGUUGAAGAGUCUGGCCAUUUAAGCUGGUACCCAGCAAUGCAAUGCAAUGGUGAAGCAAUUCCACUCGAGUACAAUCUUGCAGGCCUGAAUGCUAUUUCAUUUGACAAGGGGUGCUAUAUUGGUCAGGAGCUGAUCGCACGCACACACCACCGUGUCUAUGUCAACCGGAUAUUGAUUCUGCAACCUCUGUUAUCAGAACUCGAGCAGGCUGUUGCUCCUGGCUCAGAUGUCUUGGACGAUGCCUCUGGUAAGAAAGUGGGUACGGUAAGCACUGCUCUCGGCAGCCGUGGGAUGGGUCUGUUGCGGCUCGAAGCAGCACUGAAGGAAAACGCUAUCCUUACCAUCAGUGACAACCAAGAUGUGAGGGUCAAGGCGAUUAAGCCAGAUUGGUGGCCGGCUGAGUGGACAGAGGAUCUGGGCGCCAAUUCUUUCAUAGAGGCGCUAGAGCACAUGUGUUAUCACUUACCACUUCCUGAUAGAAGUUCUGAUAAGUCAAUUCAAGCUCAUGAUGUCUCCGGUAAGAAAGUUGGUAUGGACAGCAGAGCGCAGUCGCUUGAUCCUUGCAAGUAUGUUCCAGUACCUGACCAAAACUUCCACAUUAGUGAAGUGAUAGAAUUCUUCGGAGUUCAUAGAGGCAGACCUAAAGGAUUUGUGCGCCAAGUCUUUCAGAGAGGCACCGUUAGGGAGCCUGACCUAUUUUGUUUCAUCAAGAUUAACCACAGUGAACCUGACCGUGUCCUGCGGUCUAUCAGUUUUUGGACCUAA